GCUCCCAUCGUCUAGUGGCCUAGGACGUCGCCCUCUCACGGCGAAAACCGGGGUUCGAGUCCCCGUGGGAGCGCCA
Molecule: transfer RNA, 76 nt
Filed under: Sinimarinibacterium arenosum
Lineage: Bacteria; Pseudomonadati; Pseudomonadota; Gammaproteobacteria; Nevskiales; Nevskiaceae
Also listed under: 2 other names
Description: Sinimarinibacterium sp. CAU 1509 tRNA-Glu
Rfam family: tRNA
About the family: Transfer RNA (tRNA) molecules are approximately 80 nucleotides in length. Their secondary structure includes four short double-helical elements and three loops (D, anti-codon, and T loops).
Source: RNAcentral